This 253-nucleotide ribosomal RNA is filed under the name uncultured bacterium. Its description in RNAcentral is "partial 16S ribosomal RNA". It matches the Rfam family "Bacterial small subunit ribosomal RNA", at positions 524 to 776 of the family's 1533-position model. The record is from RNAcentral.
UACGAAGGGGGCUAGCGUUGCUCGGAAUUACUGGGCGUAAAGGGCGCGUAGGCGGCCUUCUAAGUCGAACGUGAAAUCCCCGGGCUCAACCCGGGAACUGCGUCCGAUACUGGAUGGCUUGAGUUCGGGAGAGGGAUGCGGAAUUCCAGGUGUAGCGGUGAAAUGCGUAGAUAUCUGGAGGAACACCGGUGGCGAAGGCGGCAUCCUGGACCAACACUGACGCUGAGGAGCGAAAGCCAGGGGAGCAAACGGG